Molecule: non-coding RNA, 2988 nt
Organism: Oryctolagus cuniculus (rabbit)
Lineage: Eukaryota; Metazoa; Chordata; Mammalia; Lagomorpha; Leporidae
Source: RefSeq, a predicted model, not a curated record
GGUAAAUGGGGGAUGGGACGUUUCGGCGCUGCCAAGGAUAGGGGAGACUUUCCAAAAAUUGUUAGAGAUGAGAUUUGGCAACCUGGGGCUAUGGGUAAAACACGGGUAUUCUCGGAUUACUAGCGACUGCCCCAAGCUUGGGGAGAGGAAGUGCCCCCCGAGUGUGGAGCCCUGGCUCCCAGGCCCGCUCUACCCCACCGAGUGUCUGGACGCUCGAGAGUCAAGGGGAAGUGGAAAGAAGACUCUACGAAGACUCACCGUGCACCGGUGGACUUCCCUGCCUCCUCCGUACUCGGCGAUCUGGCGCCGGGCCGGGCGACGCCUGCGGUGUGCGCUGUGCAUUGCGGGCCCUUUGUGUUAGCAACCAGCCCCUGGACUUGGCCCACACACUUUCCCCACACAGAGUUUUUAGACCGCAGAGCUGGGCAAGUUUGCUACGUCUUUGCUGUUCCCUUGCCCCAAUGCAUCUAUAUCUAAUCUAUUUCUGUACACACAUCCAUAUCUACAUCUACACCCAUAUCUAUAUCUAAUCUAUAACUAAUCUAUAUCUACAUCUGUAUCAAUAUCUACAUCCAUAUCUAUAUCUAAUCUAUAACUAAUCUAUACCUACAUCUAUAUCUAUAUCUACAUCCAUAUUUAUAUCUAAUCUAUAUCUACAUCUGUAUCAAUAUCUACAUCCAUAUCUAUAUCUAAUCUAUAUCUACAUCUACAUCUAUAUCUACAUCCAUAUCUAUAUCUGUAUCUGUAUCUAUAUCUACAUCUAUAUCUAUAACUAAUCCAUAUCUAUAUCUAAUCUAUAUCUAUAUCUACAUCUGCAUCUGUAUCUGUAUCUGUAUCUAUAUCCAUCUAUCUAUAUGUAUACCAGUGCUUCUGCAUGGCUGAGAGAUCAGGAGGGACCUGCUGGAGACCAGGGCAUGUCCAAAAGGUAGUCGGGAGAGUGAACGAGGGGACACAGCGCAGGCAGAGUUCGGAGCAUCAGUAGAGAUGAUGACGCACCUAGCGACAGCCGUUGUGGAAGCUGCUACCCCAUAAGACCUGAAUGGAGCUGAGCUGUGUAACAGCGACAGCGACCAGAAUUCAGAGAAACCUAAAGUCUCAGGAGGGGAGGGGGCGGCCCUGGCAGGAGGGGCCUGAAGCUGCACCGUCUGUCCACUAAGUCCUUCAUGGAGGUCAGGCCUCUUUUUUCUUUUUCUUUUCUUUUCUUUUCUUUUCUUUUCUUUUCUUUUCUUUUCUUUUCUUUUCUUUCUUUUUUUUUUCUUUCUUUCUUUCUUUCUUUCUUUCUUUCUUUCUUUCUUUCUUUCUUUUUUUUUUUUUGAGAGAGAGGGAGAGACAGACAGAUACAGUCAGAGAAAACCCCCAUCUGCUGGUUCACUCCCCAGAGGGCCACAACAGCUUGGACUGGGCCAGGCUGAAGCCAGGCGCCCAGAACUCAAUCUGAGUUUCUUUCGUGGGUGGCAAGGACCCAGCUAUUUGGAACAUUGCCUGCUGCCUCCCAGGGUGUGCACUGAGAGGAAGCCAGACUCAGAGCGAGAACUUGAACGCCGGCACACUGAUGUGGAACCCGACCUGAGGUUAGGUGAGCGCCGCACCUGCUGCUCACCUGGGUCUGGUCACUCAGGUCGGCCUGAGCCCGAGUCCAGCACCACGGCCAGUUCCUGCGAGCUCGCUGCUGCCAAGCGAGGUCUGUCCCUGCCGGCACGUGGGCUCCUGGACACACGUUAGCCGAACUCCUGAGCUCCCCGCAUAGAAGAGAUCUGAACUUCUGCCCUGCCCCCCGGCUCACCCUCAUCUCACGUGAAAACUUCCAGAUGAAGAUUUGGCAGGCCCCGUGUCACGCAGGUGGGAUCAGACCUGUGUCACACGUGUGUGAAGACGGUGUGCUCUGUAAGAAAGCGCUACACCCGACAUGUCAGUUAUGAACAGGCAUCUCUCCAGAGAGUCCCACGUGGUCAUCUCUGCCAGGCUUCGGGACAACGUUCUGCGAGGACUAGUGACUGGCUGGUUCUGCAGACCGAGGACAGACAGACUGCAGCUGCUCAGCUGGGCCUGGCUUUUUCAGAUUGGCCUGCAAGCAGCCCAGAGGCUGUGACUGUUCGGCUGUGUCCCGGACGCCACCUCCUCACCUGGCUCCAGCCCCCGUCUCCUCUCGGGCAGAUGCGAAAUCCCCGCUGGUUUGGGGGCCCCAGUUUCCCCACCUGUGGGGGUGGGAUUGCACUUGACCUCAUGCCCCAUCCUGCACUGAGCAGAUUCUCGUGCUGGAGCUGAGUGGGUCCGUGUGUGGGGAGAGCUGGGGAUGUCAUAGCGGGAAGGACAUUGCGGGAUGAGGGAUGUUUGGGGCUCCGGGAUGCUGACAAAGGAACGCCCCCGGAAGGCAGCACUGCCUGACGUCACUGCAUUUCUGAUCUUGCCACCUGCUCAACUGAGGGGUCAGUGGCGAUCAGAGCAGAAACCAUUUGGAGCCACGGGCUUGCUAAAUGCAGGCCAGGCGUCUCUCUCGCCCACUCCGUCAGCGCUUCCCCCUCUUUGCCUCCCAGCUACCCUCAAGGGCAGGAAUUCUCGUCUAUGAAGCGGCCUGGGCUCCCCGCGCUGUCUCCAUGUGAGCAAGUGCAAUGAGCAGUGGUUACCCCCCGGGCUGGGCCUUGAAGCUGUCCCCACGGACGCGCCCCUGGCUUUGGACCCUGGAGUCAGCUUGUUCGGGGUCAAGGUCUGUUUGGAUGUGCUGCGUUCAGAAUGAGCCGGGCUGUGCCUCGUUUCUGCUCAGUUUUCCCCCAGAGAAAGCCGGCGCUUUUACCUGGAGGAGUGUUCCAUUGACAGCUGCUGUCACGAGCUGGCCACGCGCCGCACACGGCGAGGGGAGAACCGGGAGAUCUGAAGGUGCUGUACUCUGGUCUGUGGGGCGGCCCCGGCGCGGGGGAGGAGGACGGGCACGCGGCCUCUCCCCGUGGCCUCUGACAGCCGCCUGCUGCUCUGCGCUGCUCUCCAAAUAAA